AUACUUGAGCAUAACCCUUAUGCACAAGUUUUAAAGAGUCUUGGGUCUGUUCCAAAUCUAGAUGAGUAUAGGAUCUCACUAAACACGGAUAUCAACUUGGAUCAACGAAGGUACAAUGCCCCAACGACUUCUCAAGUGGCAGCGAUAUGGGUUGAAGGGAGCGACCCAAAGAAUUGCUUUGAUAGAAGUGUUGUCGGUCUUGUUGACACUGUCGUUGUCGGCGAGUCACGCUGUGAUCGGAUUGGCAAGAGAAUCGUGCUCCCACGUACAUUUCCGGGUGGUGACCAUGACAUGCAACGGAGGUUUCUAGAUGCAAUGGCAAUAGUCCAGCGGUGGGGUAAACCGGAUUAUUUUAUCACAAUGACUUGCAAUCCUUAUUGGGAGGAGAUAACUGAGAAAUUGUUGCCUAGACAACUGCCACAAGACCGUCCAGACCUGGUGGCAAGAGUAUACAAAGCUAAACAACGAGAUAUGAUGGACUUACUGACUAGAGGUAAGCAUUUCGGAGAAGUUGCGGCUUAUGUACAUGUCACGGAGUUUCAGAAACAAGGUCUCCCGCAUGAGCAUAUACUUCUAAUCAUGAAAGCAAAAAGAAAGUUAGCGACCCCGGAUGCCUAUGAUCGGGUGAUAUCUGCAGAGAUACCUGACAAAGAAAAAUACCCCAUUCUACAU
This 672-nucleotide ribosomal RNA is filed under the name Triticum aestivum (bread wheat). RNAcentral's name for it is "partial small subunit ribosomal RNA". The record is from RNAcentral. Lineage: Eukaryota; Viridiplantae; Streptophyta; Magnoliopsida; Poales; Poaceae.